RNAcentral lists this small nuclear RNA (24 nucleotides) under Arabidopsis thaliana (thale cress). Its description in RNAcentral is "snRNA_13276". The record is from RNAcentral. Lineage: Eukaryota; Viridiplantae; Streptophyta; Magnoliopsida; Brassicales; Brassicaceae.
AGCAAAACAAACAACUUAAGCUGC